GUGUCAGCCGCCGCGGUAAUACGUAGGUGGCAAGCGUUGUCCGGAUUUACUGGGCGUAAAGGGAGCGUAGGCGGAUACUUAAGUGGGAUGUGAAAUACCCGGGCUCAACCCGGGUGCUGCAUUCCAAACUGGGUAUCUAGAGUGCAGGAGAGGAAAGUGGAAUUCCUAGUGUAGCGGUGAAAUGCGUAGAGAUUAGGAAGAACACCAGUGGCGAAGGCGACUUUCUGGACUGUAACUGACGCUGAGGCUCGAAAGCGUGGGGAGCAAACAGGAUUAGAUACCCUGGUAGUCCACGCCGUAAACGAUGGAUACUAGGUGUGGGAGGUACCAACCUUCCGUGCCGCCGUUAACACAAUAAGUAUCCCGCCUGGGGAGUACGGUCGCAAGAUUAAA
Molecule: ribosomal RNA, 393 nt
Filed under: uncultured bacterium
Lineage: Bacteria
Description: bacterial SSU rRNA
Rfam family: Bacterial small subunit ribosomal RNA
Source: RNAcentral